Molecule: ribosomal RNA, 253 nt
Filed under: uncultured bacterium
Lineage: Bacteria
Description: partial 16S ribosomal RNA
Rfam family: Bacterial small subunit ribosomal RNA
Source: RNAcentral
UACAGAGGUCCCAAGCGUUGUUCGGAUUCAUUGGGCGUAAAGGGUGUGUAGGUGGCGCCGUAAGUCGGGUGUGAAAUCUCGGGGCUUAACUCCGAAACUGCAUUCGAUACUGCGGUGCUUGAGGACUGGAGAGGAGACUGGAAUUCAUGGUGUAGCAGUGAAAUGCGUAGAGAUCAUGAGGAACACCGGUGGCGAAGGCGGCUCUCUGGACGGUGACUGACGCUGAGACGCGAAAGCGUGGGGAGCAAACAGG